This 59-nucleotide small nucleolar RNA is filed under the name Dipodomys ordii (Ord's kangaroo rat). RNAcentral's name for it is "Small nucleolar RNA SNORA73 family (ENSDORG00000022166.2)". The record is from RNAcentral. Lineage: Eukaryota; Metazoa; Chordata; Mammalia; Rodentia; Heteromyidae.
UGUAUAGCCCAGUGCUUCCCAGAGUCCUGUGGAGAGUGACUGGGGAGGUAAACCAUGCA